Molecule: transfer RNA, 68 nt
Filed under: Alcelaphus buselaphus (hartebeest)
Lineage: Eukaryota; Metazoa; Chordata; Mammalia; Artiodactyla; Bovidae
Also listed under: 1 other name
Description: tRNA-Asp
Rfam family: tRNA
About the family: Transfer RNA (tRNA) molecules are approximately 80 nucleotides in length. Their secondary structure includes four short double-helical elements and three loops (D, anti-codon, and T loops).
Source: RNAcentral
GAGACGUUAGUAAAAUAUUACAUAACUUUGUCAAGGUUAAAUUACAGGUGAAAACCCCGUACAUCUCA